UAUACCAUAGACCUUAUAGAUAUGGACAAUUGCCUAUAGUUUCUGUAUUAAGCUUUGUGUCCAUAGACAUAGUAUAUCUAGACCGAGCAUUUGCCCUUAUUUAAGGAGUGGGGGCCGAUGCUCACGUAGAAAAGGACAUACUCUGUUUCGUGCCCCUUGCGUUCUCUCUCUUUCAUACAUGCGUAGAAAUAGAGAAACAGGGAAUUGGGAACGGUGAAACUGGGAACUGCGAAGUGAAGACCAUACGUACAUUUGCGUACAUGAUCCUGCAACUGUUUCAAACCGAAAAUUCCAUCGAAGAGAAAUAAUACAAAAUCAAAAGUGCGACUAGAAUUGCAAUGGUUAGCAAUGGUUAAGCUACAUAUGCUGGAAAAAACAUUCUGUUUUAUUAUCACGGCAAUUUCACAGUUUUCCAUCAGAUGCAGAAAGGCGAGAAAAUGGUUUAAUACCAUUGGUUAUACUGUUGACUACUUACAAAAAUGCAAGAAUUUGCAGUGAAUUGCUAGAGCCGUGGAAUGCAGGAUCGACUCAAUCGAGAUUUUUCAUGAAUAUGGAUGACGGUCCAAAAACAAUAAAAAUGCAAACUCUUUACAGACGUCAUGAUUAUUUUAAACAAAACAAUUGGUGCUUAACUGAAUAUGUUGAUGAAGUUAUUACGUACAUAUCUGGUUAUAUUGCCGACUGUUAAAAAAAAAUAGAUUGCUUCUUUUGUAAACAAUUGCUCAUUUUAAACGAAGCACAAAAAGAAUCAUACGCAUAUCGUUCUGAUAAACUUUUACAGCGAAAAAAUCGAAAUGGUUUGUGUCAAGCAUCAUCCGAUGUUAUUAUUAUAUGUAAGAAUGCAGAAAAAACUGUAAGAUAUAAUCAAGACAGAUUAUUUAAAACUAAAAAUAUAUUAAAUGUUUUAAUAUGUC
Long non-coding RNA from Formica exsecta, 914 nucleotides. RefSeq lists it as uncharacterized. Lineage: Eukaryota; Metazoa; Arthropoda; Insecta; Hymenoptera; Formicidae. The transcript has 4 exons. The record is from RefSeq and is a predicted model, not a curated record.